GCAGGAUGCUUCUAGGGAAUGCUUCAGCAAGCAUCUCGCUUUGGCAUGAGAGGUGUUGAAAAGUACUCUCACUCUGGCUGUAGGGCUACAAUGGUGGCUGUUUGAGAGCAUCUAAUGCAUUAUCUUGCAUGGAAAGAUCUUGGGCUUUUUUAGAGGACGUGUCUCUCAUCUUCUCCAAUGUAGCCUUCUGGCCCUCCUUCAAAGAAUAUUCAGGAGGUGGAAGGGUUUCCAUAGAGAAAAUGACCAUUCCAUCCCCAAUAUCCUU
This 265-nucleotide long non-coding RNA is filed under the name Elaeis guineensis (African oil palm). RNAcentral describes it as "long non-coding RNA (EGUI_LNC036622)". Lineage: Eukaryota; Viridiplantae; Streptophyta; Magnoliopsida; Arecales; Arecaceae. The record is from RNAcentral.